This 335-nucleotide unclassified non-coding RNA is filed under the name soil metagenome. RNAcentral's name for it is "partial contains 5.8S ribosomal RNA, internal transcribed spacer 2, and large subunit ribosomal RNA". The stretch from base 1 to 120 matches the Rfam family "5.8S ribosomal RNA", at positions 35 to 154 of the family's 154-position model. The record is from RNAcentral.
GAUGAAGAACGCAGCGAAAUGCGAUAAGUAAUGUGAAUUGCAGAAUUCAGUGAAUCAUCGAAUCUUUGAACGCACAUUGCGCCCGCCAGUAUUCUGGCGGGCAUGCCUGUUCGAGCGUCAUUUCAACCAUCAAGCCCCCGGCUUGUGUUGGGGACCUGCGGCUGCCGCAGGCCCUGAAAAGCAGUGGCGGGCUCGCUGUCACACCGAGCGUAGUAGCAUACAUCUCGCUCUGGGCGUGCUGCGGGUUCCGGCCGUUAAACCACCUUCAUAACCCAAGGUUGACCUCGGAUCAGGUAGGAAGACCCGCUGAACUUAAGCAUGUCAAUAGCGGAGGA